This 397-nucleotide ribosomal RNA is filed under the name uncultured bacterium. Its description in RNAcentral is "partial 16S ribosomal RNA". It matches the Rfam family "Bacterial small subunit ribosomal RNA", at positions 523 to 918 of the family's 1533-position model. The record is from RNAcentral.
AUACGUAGGGGACAAGCGUUAUUCGGAUUUACUGGGCGUAAAGGGCGCGUAGGCGGUUUUGCAAGUCAGAAGUGAAAUUCCUGAGCUCAACUCGGGCGUUGCUUCUGAAACUGGAAGGCUUGAGUGCUGGAGGGGAUAGCGGAAUUCCACGUGGAGCGGUAAAAUGCGCAGAUAUUAGGAAGAACACCGGUGGCGAAGGCGGCUAUCUGGACAGAAACUGACGCUGAGGCGAGAAAGCGUGGGGAGCAAACAGGAUUAGAUACCCUGGUAGUCCACGCCGUAAACGAAGAAUACUAGGUGUAGGGGGUAUCGACUCCCUCUGUGCCGCAGUUAACACAAUAAGUAUUCCGCCUGGGGAGUACGGCCGCAAGGUUGAAACUCAAAUGAAUUGACGGGG